UUUGAGUUCUAGGGUUUGGAUAUUUAUUUUAUUUAGCUGGAUUUUAGCUAAUUUUUGAAAUUUGAGAUUGAAUUAGCUAAUUCUAGGCUUGUUCCAACAUUAAUUUGAUUUUGAAUUACCUAAAUUUCGGUUAGUCUUGACACUUAUUUCUCCAUUUUACUCAUUAAUUGUUUCGUAGCUUUGGGGGGAAAUCUUAUUCCUAUUCCUUUACUAAAUUAUUGUAAUUAUUUAAGUGAAAGAGUAUUCUUUGUAAUAAUUUUACUAUUUGAUAUAUUACGAAUUCGAUAAAAGGAUUGUUUUGCUAUUUUUUUCGGUGACCGCUUAUCUCUUUUACUUUAAUUUACGCCAAGCAUAGGUAAGUUGAUUUGUCUCUAUUUUUUUUAUAAUUAAGUCUUGUCUUGUUAUUGUAUAUAUUGAAGUCUAGUGAAGCCGUGUGUGGCCUUGUUCGAUUCACUAGCAUUGUUGUUGACAUCUUGUCGGUCUUGUUGUUGCUUUUUGGAUGACAUAGUCAUUUGAAAAUGGUUAAAUGUAGGAACAUUAAAGGGGAUUUUUUGUUUUGAAUGUGGUUGGGUUGGUGACUUAGUUGCUUGAAAAUGGUUAAGCGUAGGAACUUUAAAGGAAUUUUUUUUGUUUUGAAUGUGAUUUGGUUGGUGACUUAGUUGCUUGAAAAUGGUUAAGUCUAGGAACAUUAAAGGGGAUUUUUUGUUUUGAAUAUGAGUUGGUUGGUCACUUAGCUGCCUGAAAAUGGUUAAGUGUAGGAACUUUAAAGGGAAUAUUUUUGUUUUGAAUGUGGUUUGGUUGGUGACUUAGUUCCUUGAAAAUAGUUAAGUGUAGGAACUUUAAAGGGAAUUAUUUUAUUUUGAAUGUGGUUUGGUUGGUGACUUAGUUACUUGAAAAUGGUUAAGUGUAGCAACUUUAAAGGGAUUUUUUUAUUUUGAAUGUGGUUUAGUUGGUGACUUAGUUGCUUGAAAAUGGUUAAGUGUAGCAACUUUAAAAGAAUUUUUUUUGUUAUGAAUGUGGUUUGGUUGGUAACUUAGUUGCUUGAAAAUGGUUAAAUCUAGGAACUUUAAAGGAGAUUUUUUGUUUUGAAUGUGGUUUGGUUGGUGACUUAGUUGCUUGGAAAUAGUUACGUGUAGGAACUUUAAACGGGGUUGGUGACUUAGUUGCUUGAUAAUGGUUAAGUGUAGGAACUUUAAAGAAAUUUUUUUGUUUUGAAUGUGGUUUGGUGGUGACUUAGUUGCUUGAAAAUGAUUAAGUGUAGUAACUUUAAAGGGAAUUUUUUUGUUUUGAAUGUGGUUAGGUUGGUGACUUAGUUGUUCGAAAAUGGUUAAGUGUAGGAACUUUAAAGGAAAUUUUUUUCUUUUGAAUGUGGUUUGUUAGGUGACUUAGUUGCUUGAAAAUGGUUAAGUGUAGGAACUUCAAAGGGAAUUUUUUUACUUUGAAUGUGGUUUGGUUGGUGACUUAGUUGCUUGAAAAUUGUUAAGUGUGGGAACUUUAAUGAGAAUUUUUUUGUUUUGAAUGUAGUUUGGUCGGUGACUUAGUUGCUUGAAAAUGGUUAAAUGUAGCAACUUUAAAGAGAAUUUUUUAUUUUGAAUGUGGUUUGGUUGGUGACUUAGUUGCUUGAAAAUGGUUAAGUCUAGGAACUUUAAAGAGAUUUUUUUAUUUUGAAUGUGGUUUGGUAGGUAACUUUGUUGCUUGAAAAUGAUUAAGUGUAGGAACUUUAAAGGAAAUUUUUUUGUUUCGAAUGUGGUUUGGUUGGUGACUUAGUUGUUUGAAAAUGGUUAAGUGUAGGAACUUUAAAGGAAAUUUUUUGUUUUGAAUGCAGUUUGGUAGGUGACUUAGUUGCUUGAAAAUGGUUAAGUGUAGGAACUUUAAAGGAAAUUUUUUUGUUUUGAAUGUGGUUUGGUUGGUGACUUAGUUUCUUGAAAAUGGUUAAAUUUUUGUGACUUGAUCUAAUUAGUUGAAUCUGAUUGAUUGCGUAGAUGAAAUCUGAUUAUAGCUGGAUAUAUCAAUGGAACAAUGAUAAUAUAAUUGGUAUUAGGGAGGAAUUUGUUGAGGGUAUCAAAAGAUUUGUUGAACAUGCUAAGACACUUGAUAUGUGGACACGUUAUCGGGUUAUUCGUUGUCCUUGUGUUAGAUGUGAUGAGAUAAAUCUUAUAAGAGAAGAAGAUCUAAAUGAACAUCUUUAUAGAAAGGGGUUUCACGAGGACUUUUAAGAUCGCGUGGCAUUCAUGGCGAUGUUGCGCAAAAUAACUUUGUUGUUGGAGAAAGUAGUAGGCCUGCAUGACAUAAUAAAUAUCAAGAUACUAGGAUGACAAAAAUGGUGCACGAUGCUUUUG
This 2339-nucleotide long non-coding RNA is filed under the name Capsicum annuum. Its description in RNAcentral is "long non-coding RNA (CANN_LNC017601)". The record is from RNAcentral. Lineage: Eukaryota; Viridiplantae; Streptophyta; Magnoliopsida; Solanales; Solanaceae.